This 301-nucleotide ribosomal RNA is filed under the name uncultured bacterium. RNAcentral describes it as "partial 16S ribosomal RNA". It matches the Rfam family "Bacterial small subunit ribosomal RNA", at positions 509 to 807 of the family's 1533-position model. The record is from RNAcentral.
CAGCAGCCGCGGGAAUACGAAGGGUGCAAGCGUUACUCGGAAUUACAGGGCGUAAAGCGUGCGUAGGUGGUGGUUUAAGUCCGUUGUGAAAGCCCUGGGCUCAACCUGGGAAUUGCAGUGGAUACUGGGUCACUAGAGUGUGGUAGAGGAUAGUGGAAUUUCCGGUGUAGCAGUGAAAUGCGUAGAGAUCGGAAGGAACAUCUGUGGCGAAGGCGACUAUCUGGGCCAACACUGACACUGAGGCACGAAAGUGUGGGGAGCAAACAGGAUUAGAUACCCGCGUAGUCCCUGUCUCUUAUAC